This 439-nucleotide ribosomal RNA is filed under the name uncultured bacterium. Its description in RNAcentral is "partial 16S ribosomal RNA". It matches the Rfam family "Bacterial small subunit ribosomal RNA", at positions 338 to 794 of the family's 1533-position model. The record is from RNAcentral.
CCUACGGGAGGCAGCAGCAAGGAAUUUUGGGCAAUGGGGGCAACCCUGACCCAGCAACGCCGCGUGGACGAUGAAGGCUUUCGGGUCGUAAAGUCCUUUUGUGGGGGACGAUGAUGACGGUACCCCACGAAAAAGCCCCGGCUAACUACGUGCCAGCAGCCGCGGUAAUACGUAGGGGGCGAGCGUUGUCCGGAUUUAUUGGGCGUAAAGCGCGCGUAGGCGGUGCGCUAAGUCCGUGGUGAAAUCUCCCGGCUCAACUGGGAGGGGGCCAGGGAGACUGGCGCGCGGGAGGACGGCAGAGGAAGGUGGAAUUCCCGGUGUAGGGGUGAAAUGCGUAGAGAUCGGGAGGAACACCAGUGGCGAAGGCGGCCUUCUGGGCCGGUCCUGACGCUGAGGCGCGAAAGCGGGGGGAGCGAACCGGAUUAGAUCCCCGGGUAGU